GUUUCAACUCAGCAGCUGGAUAGAGCAUGGUGCUCGUAAUGCCAAGGUUGCGGGUUUGAUCCCCGUAAGAGACA
This is a non-coding RNA of Podarcis lilfordi (Lilford's wall lizard), 74 nucleotides long. Lineage: Eukaryota; Metazoa; Chordata; Lepidosauria; Squamata; Lacertidae. The record is from the annotation of a GenBank genome assembly.